This 468-nucleotide ribosomal RNA is filed under the name uncultured bacterium. Its description in RNAcentral is "partial 16S ribosomal RNA". It matches the Rfam family "Bacterial small subunit ribosomal RNA", at positions 28 to 507 of the family's 1533-position model. The record is from RNAcentral.
GACGAACGCUGGCGGCGUGCUUAACACAUGCAAGUCGAACGGAAAGGCCCUGCAUUUGUGGGGUGCUCGAGUGGCGAACGGGUGAGUAACAAGUGAGUAACCUGCCCUUGACUUUGGGAUAACUUCAGGAAACUGGGGCUAAUACCGGAUAGGAGCUCCUGCUGCAUGGUGGGGGUUGGAAAGUUUCGGCGGGUGGGGAUGGACUCGCGGCUUAUCAGCUUGUUGGUGGGGUAGUGGCUUACCAAGGCUUUGCCGGGUAGCCGGCCUGAGAGGGUGACCGGCCACAAUGGGACUGAGAUACGGACCAGACUCGUACGGGAGGCAACAGUGGGGAAUAUUGCACAAUGGGCGGGAGCCUGAUGCAGCAACGCCGCGUGCGUGAUGACGGCCUUCGGGUUGUAAACCGAUUUCGCCUGUGACGAAGCGUGAGUGACGGUAAUGGGUAAAGAAGCACCGGCUAACUACGUG